This 239-nucleotide ribosomal RNA is filed under the name unidentified proteobacterium. RNAcentral's name for it is "16S rRNA". It matches the Rfam family "Bacterial small subunit ribosomal RNA", at positions 1 to 271 of the family's 1533-position model. Lineage: Bacteria; Pseudomonadati; Pseudomonadota. The record is from RNAcentral.
UGAGAGUUUGAUCCUGGCUCAGAGCGAACGCUGGCGGCAGGCUUAACACAUGCAAGUCGAGCGGGCGUAGCAAUACGUCAGCGGCAGACGGGUGAGUAACGCGUGGGAACGUACCUUUUGGUUCGGAACAACACAGGGAAACUUGUGCUAAUACCGGAUAAGCCCUUACGGGGAAAGAUUUAUCGCCGAAAGAUCGGCCCGCGUCUGAUUAGCUAGUUGGUGAGGUAAUGGCUCACCAA